UUAAUUGAAGCCAAAAAGAGGCUUAUCAUUGUUAAUGAUAAAAUUGAGAAAUAUAAACUCCAAUUAAA
Molecule: transfer RNA, 68 nt
Filed under: Tephritis femoralis
Lineage: Eukaryota; Metazoa; Arthropoda; Insecta; Diptera; Tephritidae
Description: tRNA-Asn
Source: RNAcentral